Molecule: ribosomal RNA, 474 nt
Filed under: Ectopoglossus isthminus
Lineage: Eukaryota; Metazoa; Chordata; Amphibia; Anura; Dendrobatidae
Description: partial 16S ribosomal RNA
Rfam family: Bacterial large subunit ribosomal RNA
Source: RNAcentral
GACUANUAUGANCGGCCCCACGAGGGCUACACUGUCUCCUUUUUCUAAUCAAUGAAACUAAUCUUCCCGUGAAGAAGCGGGGAUGAACCUAUAAGACGAGAAGACCCUAUGGAGCUUUAAAUAUUUAUAAAUAUCUGCCCUAUCUAAUUUCCAGUUUCAUUCAUCCGGGCACUUUAUUUAAAGUUUUAGGUUGGGGUGACCGCGGAGUAAAAACUAACCUCCACAUUGAACAAGAUUCUUAUCUUUUAGCAAAAACAACAACUUUAUGCACCAAAAAAUUGACUUUGAUUGACCCAAUAUAUUGACCAACGAACCAAGUUACCCUAGGGAUAACAGCGCAAUCUAUUUCAAGAGCUCAUAUCGACAAAUAGGUUUACGACCUCGAUGUUGGAUCAGGGUGUCCCAGUGGCGCAGCCGCUACUAACGGUUCGUUUGUUCNACGAUUGAAACCCUACGUGAUCUGAGUUCAGACCG